Arachis ipaensis is the source of this 652-nucleotide non-coding RNA. Lineage: Eukaryota; Viridiplantae; Streptophyta; Magnoliopsida; Fabales; Fabaceae. The record is from RefSeq and is a predicted model, not a curated record.
GUCUAUACUAUUGUAUGAGAUGUUGAUGAAUGCUUGCAAACAGAAGAUAAAUCCAAAAGGUUAAUAAUGUUUAAUCUUACUAAACAAAAUAGAAUAAUCAUCAUGGACAAAAGAAUAAUACAAGCCGUCCAAAGUUUUUUUAAUGACGAUAAUACUAUAAAUAAAAUCAACACAAAAUUGUUAACAAUUUAAUUUUUUUCCCUUACACAUCAUUAUCAUGAAAAAUAAAAUAGAACUAUUUUUUCUGCACAAAACAAAACGGAAAGAAGAAAAAGGAAAAAACGAAGCGUCUUUUUCUGAAGACAGGGUUGAAGUGCAAGUUGAUUCACACUCUGACUGUGGGUAAAGCAAGAAUCAGUGCGUGAUAACCCACAAAAUAGAAAAAGAAAACGUUGGUUUGUUUUGUUUCCAGCUGAAAGUUCUGUUUUUGAUUGCAAAAGUUAUCCUUUUCUUUUAUUUGGUCACUUAAUUGAAUAUUAGUUUCAGCGCUUGAACUGAAGCAAUACAUUGGAGUGUUGAACUGUUGAUAGGAGGUGGAACCCUAGAUUGACAAUUUUGGAUUUGGGAAUGAAGAUGUCAGUUCAAAGGAUUCUGAUUGUGUUUUUGGUAGACUAUUAUAUUAUGCUCAAUUUUGAUUUUGUGUUACGAAAUG